UAGUGUGAAAUAAAAGCUCAGUUGUUUUGUUUCAGUGACUGAUCAGUCUUCUCAGUGUGUCUCCUCAAGCUCCUUUCUCAAAAUGAAAGUGCCUGGUAGGCUGCUGGUGCUGUUGUUUUGGAUUCCAGCUUCCAGGAGUGAUGUUGUGUUGACACAAACUCCAGGUUCCCUGUCUGUCACACUUGGAGAUCAAGCUUCUAUAUCUUGCAGGUCUAGUCAGAGCCUGGAAUAUAGUGAUGGAUACACUUAUUUGGAAUGGUACCUACAGAAGCCAGGCCAGUCUCCACAGCUCCUCAUCUAUGGAGUUUCCAACCGAUUUUCUGGGGUCCCAGACAGGUUCAUUGGCAGUGGGUCAGGGACAGAUUUCACCCUCAAGAUCAGCAGAGUAGAGCCUGAGGACUUGGGAGUUUAUUACUGCUUCCAAGCUACACAUGAUCCUCCCACAGUGAUGCAGACCCUAACAAAAAUGUCCUUGCUUGGGGCAUCCCAGCUGUCAAAUAUGUUAUUCAUGUAUGAGAGAGAGUUUCUGAGGAACUCCAGAUUAUUGGUUCCAGCUGAGGGCAAGUGCAGCUUGGCUACAGAUCACUGGUCAUUCAUUUAUUACUUCAUUGCCACAAUAACAAUUUUGCACCUGCCUCAGGAAAAAAGCAAACAGGUGAUCACUCAAAAACAAGAAAAGAAUGAGAAAAUAGCUGAGUGAAUACAUAUUUGAAUU
Non-coding RNA from Rattus norvegicus (Norway rat), 715 nucleotides. Lineage: Eukaryota; Metazoa; Chordata; Mammalia; Rodentia; Muridae. The record is from the annotation of a RefSeq genome assembly.